CUCCUCUCCCGUGCACCUUCCAUACUACUUUUUGUUUACCUUUGUAUCUCUAUGAAGUAUAUGGACGUUCAUUCGGUUUCACUCUAGCCGGGCUCCUGAUACGGAUGUGAGAUGCAGGAACAGGACAGCACACAGAGGAAUUUAUAUAUCAGUCAUUUAAACAAAUGCCUAAAAAACAUUCACCAGGUACUAACGAAGGCCAAUGACAUCUUAAGCAGUAUCAGUCAGCCCUCCGUAUGCAGUGAGGUAUUGCUUUCUCCUGAAGGAGCAAAUUAUAUAUCAGGGGUGGUGGAAGUUUACAGAGUGUCAAAAAGAAUAGAAGGAGGGAUGACUGCAUUUAACAUUGUCAGUGAGAGUCUUCAACCAGUUCUCAAGGACAUAGAUUUAUCCUGGAAUAACCUACAGGCUUUUCUAUCUAUGUCUCCUUGUGUCCUACAUAGGCUGUAUUUUUUUCAUUGACCCUCAACAGCCUUCACAAUCAGCUUUGGAUUAUAAAGUUGAAGGCUUCCUUUCUGAUUCAACACACUGCGUGAAAAGAUGUUGUGGUGUUUGCCUGUUAGAGAGGCCAGAAGAAGGACAGCUUCUUUCAGAUCCAGCACACAGCAUGCUGAUAUAUGAAAGCCAUCUCUACCAUACAAGUUGUGCCAACUUCUGGAUGCACUGUGUGGAUUCAUCGCUGCCGGUUUUGCCCUGUCACAAUUGCCGUUAUUGCUUGAAACUAAACCAAGUGGAAAUAUGAAAUCUUGAAUGUCAUGGACUUGAAUAAUGUUUACUUGCCGUGGUCUUCAUCAUUUUAGUUUUUAUUUUAAAUAUUGUAUUUUUUUUAAAGAAUCUUGUUCACAAGUGGAGGGUAAAAAGGCUCUGUUGGUCCUUACAGCUUACUUCAGAGCUCUGUAAUGUUAUAUAAAAUGUUUUUCCAGGUGUCAUAUACUUUCUUCUUUCAGGCUUACGUGCUAAAUGCUAAAUUAUAUGUGUGUGGCUUAUUUUGCUGGACCCUAAGUGCAACUCAUCCUCAUGGGGCACCAACUAAUCUUCAGCAUAGAUUUUGGUUAUAAACCACAAGAUACAUUUUAAAGGGACAUCAAGCUCAAAAGUGAAAUGGACAUAAAUGCAUUUCCAUUUUUAAUAGAAAUGUUUUUGAAAUACACCUGUAAUAGCAAAAUGCUUCUAGUAAAAUCUAGCACUUAUUUAGUGAUCAUUUUUACUGUGCAAGGAUCAUAUGUGCAUAUGCCUUUUACACCUGCAUUAUUAAUACCACACCUGCUCAGACAGCAUAUAUUGCAUUUGUGAUGAUCACUCCUGGCUCUCUGAGCAGGCACAGUGUUUGAAUGUAGGUACACAAGUCAUAUGUACAUAUGCUUCAUGCACAGUAAAAUCUUUCACUGACCCUUUUAUCAGAAGCAUUUUUGCAAAUACAUGUGUAAAACAAAUAUGCUUCAUUGUGCACAAUUCAAUUUUCAGUUUUAUGUCUCUUUAAUAAAAUAAAAAUGAUUAUGUGACGUACAGGGUUAAACUACCCUGUACCAGUUACUAGUUUGGCACAGUCUAGCCACUCCAGGCAAGCCUGUGACUUACUUGAAAGGGUGCAAGGGUUAACAAACAUUCUUUAGACUAUACUAGACCUUAGAAAGUGCCCAAAGUCCCCUUUAAGGCCACUCAUACUAAACUAUCUCUGCUUCUACCACUUUAAUAUUAUUAUAUGGGAAAUCCUUAGGAAAAGCCAAGACUAAUUAUUAUUAUUAUCGGUUAUUUGCAGAGCGCCAACAGAUUCUGCAGCGCUAAUAGAUUAAAGAUCCCAAAACACAAUUGGCAAAAAUCUAUCUAAAAACACUGUAUUGUUACUUACCAGUCUCUUCAGUAAUGAGGCAAAAUCUUAUUAAAGGAACAUUUAUUAUGAACAAAAUGCAUUUAUAUUUAAAAAAAAAAAAAAAGUUAGCAAACAAUUAUACAAAGCAACAGUUUUUAAAAGAAAAAUGAGUAAAAACAGAACCUAAUACUGUACUAGCCUAGAUAUCUGUGCAAAGGGAGCUGGCAAGAAAAGACCGUCACUUACACUGUUUUCACGCAGUCUCCUAUGUAAAAUUUCAGAAUGAUGUUGCUGAAAUCACAGUUGAAUAAAUUUUUUCCGUCUGGUUUCUGACCAGGCCCCUUCCUGAGUGGGCAAGGAAAGUAACCAUAAAGCCAUAAAAAGCUCUGCAACCCUGGCUGGAAUAAUAGAACAGUUUAUAAUUUUUUUGUUAUGUAUACUCAGUACAUACACACAUAUAAGCAAUCCCUCUGUGACAUCAUAAGGUCAUGUCUGUCAUCCCGUACCAUAAAUAUGUUUAAAGCAUGUUGUAAGAUAUCUUAGAGUGUUACCGUUAAUUGACCUUAGGCCUGUGCCUUGACACUAGUUUAUGUCACUUUGUUGUGGACAUCUUGGGGCCAUAAACUGAGAUUAGGCACAAGGCUUCUGGCUACCUGUAAUAAAAUGUGCUCAAGUAAAACCUAAAAACCAUUUAUGACAGGGUGUUUGUUUUUUAAUGAUUAACCAAGGGAAAUACUUGGUCUGGAAAAAAACAAACAAAAAAAAACCAAACUAAAUACCUAGCAGACAGAGAAAAAGUUAACCCCUUACAUCUAAAAUCAUGAGCGCUUCGUGACAGAUUAUAAAGAUGUAAACUAACCAAAUUUAAAUGAGCAAAGAAAAUAAACUGCUUUAAUUGAUCAAGCCAUUUUCUACUAAAACACAUACUAUUUGAUAAUUAACAUAAGUAUAGUGGAUAGUAAUGCAUGUGCCCAUGCUAUAAUUAAAAAACAUACCUAUGCCAACCAAUGCAGUGCAGACUUAAGCCAUGCAUAAGUGGAGAGGCUACAUAUAUAAUAUUACUCUAACGAUUGCAUGUAAGAGUUGUGUACAUGCAUUUUAGCAGAAAAUUAAAUGGCAAGGUUACUUUAGAUGUGUUUCAUUUCUGUGCACCUCAUCCCUGAUACGGUAUCCUUUAGGCCUUGUUCAGUUUUAUUGUAGGUUUGGCAAUAUAGUAAAGUGGUUCCAGAAUAUAAAAUGUCAACAACAGUGAGUCUACACCUAACACAAGGCUCCAUGUUGUAUUAUCAGAUGAAGAUGAUACUAAAUCUAUCUUUUAUUUACUCUCUGUGAGACAGUCUGAAUAAAGUUUAUCAUUUUAAAUAUACAAAAUGGCCUUGAUAAUUCAUUCAAAAGGAUUCAACAUGGAACUUUGAUGCAGGGAUUGUUCCUCAAAAGUCACAGCAGGUACAUUAUUUAAAUAAUAUAGCUACACCUUAAAAGAAAUAAUCAUUUGUUUAUAGGGAUAUGAAACCAAAAAAUGUUUUCUUGUGAUUCAGACAGAGCAGACCAUUUUAAAGAUGUACUUCUAUUAUCAAAUCUGCUUUGUUCCCAUGAUAUUCUGUGUUGAAGAGAUACCUAGGUAGGCAUCUGGAACACUACAUGGCAGGAAAUAGUGCUGCCAUCUGGUGCUCUUGCAAAUAGAUAACAUUCUUGCAAAAUGCUGCCAUAAAGUGCUCCAGAAAUGGACCUUCUCCUAAGCGUACAUCCCUGUUUUCAACAAAAGAUACUAAGAGUACAAAUUUAAAUUGGUAAUAGAGUUAAAUUAAAGAGACAUUUUUUAUUAGUUACUUCUUGUACAUUACGCGCAUCCUCUAAUUCAGAUACGCUCAUCUCCACCUCUGAUAUUCUAUUAGAGAACUGUCUUAUUAUCUCUGCUAUUUCUAGUUUUACUGACUCAAACUGAGGCGUUAUUAAUUCUGCUAAUUGUUUAUGUGUCUGUGCUAUUACUACUUGAGGAUUGUGCUGUUAGUGUGUCCUCUAAACAUGCAUCAGGCCCCGUUUAUACAUUUGUUGUCUUUAACGGCAUAGCUGGUGAUCUUGACUUUGUAUUUAUAAUGUAUAUUUGUCCAUUAAAUGUGAUAGACCUUAAACAAACAA
Molecule: RNA transcript, 3946 nt
Organism: Bombina bombina (fire-bellied toad)
Lineage: Eukaryota; Metazoa; Chordata; Amphibia; Anura; Bombinatoridae
Gene name: synergin gamma-like
Exons: 6
Source: RefSeq, a predicted model, not a curated record